GCGGAGCGGCCCGAGUGGCCAGGUGCGCCCGGGGACGGACUAGACCUGGUGUGGACAACUAUAAGAGCGCGUUGGGCCCGGAGGCUUAAGGGACUACAUUUCCCAAGGGGCGCCGCGGCCGGAAGGGGCCCAGUGCGCAGGCGCACAGGGGCGCCUUGGGCUAUAUAAGGGAGGU
This 175-nucleotide long non-coding RNA is filed under the name Jaculus jaculus (lesser Egyptian jerboa). RNAcentral's name for it is "ZNFX1 antisense RNA 1 conserved region 1 (ENSJJAG00000006157.1)". It matches the Rfam family "ZNFX1 antisense RNA 1 conserved region 1". The record is from RNAcentral. Lineage: Eukaryota; Metazoa; Chordata; Mammalia; Rodentia; Dipodidae.